CCGCGCCGCUCGCGGCCCGCGCUGACGCCGCCCUGGCGCCGCCUCUCGACGCAUACCACGCGCGCAGAUAUAAUGAUAUGGCGCCAAAGCACUGGGAAGAAGGCCCUCCCCGCUACCACGGGCCUACUGAGUAUGAGCGACCCCCUCCAUACUACUAUCCCGGACCAAACGAUAGACAGUAAAACGGCGCUCACGGAACUGGACGAAGAAAUGCUGAAAUACUGAGGAACCCCCAGCCGGACCCCCCCCCACUUACGAGACAACGAUUGGUGCGGCGCACGUGCAACAUCAUCAUGUAGUACAUACUACAUACAUGUUCUUAAGACCGUCUCCGAACACAUCAUAAGGAUUUAUUCAAAUCAGGCAUAAAUUAAACUCGUGGCCAAACUAGUUGCUAUUAAAACGUCCUAGACUUCUGUUACUAGGUGUCCACCGCGCUGCGCCCUGUCUCGUAUCGUGUUCAUAGUCAGAGAGGGCAACACGUUGCAAUCUUAUAGUAUAUUUUAAAUACCAGAUAUUUUCUAGAGUUAAUGUUGUGCGAGAGCUAUGUUGUUAUCGACGCUGCUUACUAUGUCGCUCUUGAAAGCUCUUGUAAUAGAGCGCCGCGGCAGGAGUACGCUGUUGUGCGGUAACGAUGGUCUCGCUAUAUUCAAAUCUCUCCGUUAUUCCGUAGAGUAGAAUAUUUUACAUACAUUAUUAGACGUCUCUAAUUAAAUUUCUCAUACAGAAUGUCUUCAGGUUUCUGGUCUCAGAACCUUAUCGAUGCAGGGCUACCAUCCAAGUAAUGUGUUAAGAAGGAACUUUAAUUAUUCGACGUAGUUGUAAUCAAAGUACUAAUGUAACGUAAUACAUACUGUAAUAGUGUCGAAUGUAAAUAGUAUAAGUAUCAGUGAACAAGUCUCGAGUCACCUCCACAGUUACUGCCAUAUCUCGACUGUCUGGUGUGUUCGUGUAGCGCUGUCUCACGUCACAUCGGCUCAAUAUUGUGCGUAAGAAACGUUGAUCUGCCGAUCGUGAUGGCUUUAAAUGAUUUACAGAUUUUUAUUAUACUUUAUAUGCGUUGUUGAAAGCGGAUCACGACGACCGCACAAAUGUAUUUGAGUUUGAAAUCUAAGAGAUUCCUUUUUAUUUUAGUAUUUACGUGUAUUCAUUAGUUAAGUAAUUAAUUUCUCUCGUUUUUUCAUUCACUUACUGUAUUAAAACUGUAAUUGUAUGAAAAAUAAAACAGGCACAUGUUCGUGUGAAAAAGCGACAGAAAAUAAAGGGCGGUAGAGGGCGGUCACUUGUUCACACGUACACAAGACGCCAGCGAGAUUGUAAUGCAUUUAUAUUGAACUCGUAUGUAUAAGUAUUACUAAACUACACUUGCAUUGUACGCGAGCGCGACGCGAGGGAGGCUCACGUGCGGAACUGCACAACUCAAGCAGUAGUCUAACUUUAGCGCUUGUUCACUUUACGAACACUAGGUUUCUAAAUAUAUUUGUAUGGCACGGACCAUGUCACCGAUGUGUCGUCCGCGCUCACUUUGUUCGUAAUUAUAUACCCUUUUUAGUAUAAUUUUGUGAUUACUUGACAUAUUAUUAUAAAUUACUCGGAGAGCGAGGUUAUGUUCAAAUAGUUGAUUUGUUUAAAUUUAUAUGUGUCAUAUCGUUAGUAAGUGCCGUUUAUUGUAUGUAAGUGCGGCUGUGUGUGUGUUUGUGUGAUACCAAAUAUGUGUUGUCCAAGUGGUUGUAGCAGGGCUCCGGUAACUUUAACACAUAACUUUGAUAUCGAAGCUGUGUAUUUUAAUACUCAAAUGUCUUUCAUACGAAGAAAUCGUUCGAUCGAAGCCCUGCACCAUCAGUGACGCAGCCGCUGGGAUUUUUUUAUAAGAACACGUUAUACAAAUGGUUAGUCACAAUAAACUGUGUCAAAUAUACUUAUUAUAUAGGUCCCCAGCGGCUGCGGCCGCCGCUGAUGCCUAGCAGCGCGCUGCUCCCCGUGCUCGCAGGCCGCGCUAGGCAGCGGGCAGCCCGCCUCGCGGCUGUCGCACUUAGUGGGAACAUUACGUACGUUAAGCAUUUCCUGCUCACUUUAUCUUAGACGACUUCCUUUUGGAGAAAACUUGUUCAAAAUAUUAGUGAUUAUGUUGUGUCGCUGCUCAAGCCUUGUGCAGGUCGAGCGACCGCUCGGCGCUGGUAGGAUAGCAUUAUUUAGCCAUUUUAUAUUGAUUUAUGGAGAGUCGGCGAGAGUUGACGUACUGGAUAGUGAUAGUGAAUGUUAAGUUAAGGUAGCGUAACGUAAUUCCAAUAUGUAAUCUUUAAACAAAUAGUAGUGUAACCAAAAAGUAAGGUUUUGUAAGACCGUGCCGCUGUACGCGGAGGCUGUGCGUCCACACGGACAGGAGCGAUCAUUGUAAAAUAAACAAUUAAUUAUCUCUCGA
Molecule: long non-coding RNA, 2422 nt
Organism: Trichoplusia ni (cabbage looper)
Lineage: Eukaryota; Metazoa; Arthropoda; Insecta; Lepidoptera; Noctuidae
Exons: 3
Source: RefSeq, a predicted model, not a curated record